This 2899-nucleotide long non-coding RNA is filed under the name Mytilus galloprovincialis (Mediterranean mussel). Lineage: Eukaryota; Metazoa; Mollusca; Bivalvia; Mytilida; Mytilidae. The record is from RNAcentral.
GUCACAAAUUUGUUAGGAAAUAGAAAACACAGUAAGUUUUGAGAAAAGUCACAAAUUAAGUUAGAAACAAUGUUCAAUUUUAUGUAUGAAGGCAAAAAGUUUGUGAACAAAAAAUUGAUAACUACUAGAAUAUUUGUGUAAUACAAUGAGUUAAUAAAAAUUGUUUAUUUCAGAAUUUUUUUUAAUUAAUUUUGAUAAAAAACAGUUUAAAGGAUUGGUUUGAAUAUCAUACAGCUUUCUAAUUUCAAUAUCAAUAAGUUGUUUUAAGAGUCUCAUGUUUUAAUGUACCUGUAAUUUUUUCGCUGAGUUAACUUAUAAAGAUAAAUAUUUUCUCUGAGUUAACUUAUACAGAUAGAAAGGCUGCUCUUUCAUCUAUUAAUAUUUAUAUUGAAUAAAUUUAUCGAUCUUGUCUUGAUCUUACUUAAGGGGGUUCGCGGGUCUAAAUCAUUUAUAUAGGAUUUCUCUAUAUUUUUCUAUAAAUGAACUUUAUCUUAUAGUUAAUAGAAAAAUAAAAUAAAAAAGUGGGGUCACCGUUCAUUUGCCCUCACAAUCUGCCUUCGAAAGAAGCAUACAUUUUUGUAAAGGUGUUUUUUUUCUGUUGAAGUAAUAGGAGAAAUAAAGGUAAUAUCGAAAUAAAAAAAAAAAAUUAUUACAGAAAUCGCUAAAAUUUUACAAUAAUUUAGUUUUAGUACAGCUUAUAUGGAAAUUAUAUUAAAAAAGUUAGGUAACCGAUGAGUUGAAAAAGAUAUUUCAAUUUUAGAGCAAAUAAAUGUCAUUUUUCCACCAAAGGGAGAUAAUUUGGAACUUUUUCAAUGAUGUAUACAUUUUGAAAGUCAUCUGGGGCCAACACGAAUUGAUUGUUUUGAAUGAUUUAUGUACCAUAUGAUAAAGUAACAACUACAAAAGGAAAUAAAUAGAAUUUGUAAUGGAAAACAAAUGUUUGAUUUUUUUCUGAAAUUUUUAUACCCUCGAACCUCCUUAAAUAUGAUGAUUCAUUCCAUACACCAAAUACAGCAUUGUAUUUGCUUAUAUGCAGUAUAUGAGAAACUGACAAGACCAAAAUCAUUUACACUGACAUAUAAAACAUGAAAAUGAGGUCAAGUUCGGGUGAAACUGACAGGUGAGUAUGAACAAUUACUAUUUGAGUCAUUCCGCACAACAAAUAUAGUGAAUAUGUUGCUAAUAGUAUCUGAUGUUCGGGUUUGGUCACGAAAACUGAACAUUGAUAACUGAUCCAUGAAAUAAGAUUGAGGUCAAGUGAACCAUGUCUGACGGAUAUGUACACUUUGAAAGCAUCUAAUAUACACAAUAUAUUACCCUAUAACUCGCAAUAAAAGAGUAUUUUGCAGCGACAAAACAACUAAAAGUAGCAUUCUGAGAGUUUUGCAAGUCAAUUACCCUACCAACUAAAAAUUCAUUGUAAUUCAUUGUAAUGGAGCAAUUAACUUUGAUCUAUAACUUGUCACGGUGUCAAACUAUACAAUUAAUAUCAAAAUAAGUGUGGAAAACUGAUUAUUUGCCUGAAUUGUCUAAGUCCAAUAAACUUUCGAAAUAACCCUACAAACUAAACAAAAUUUAGAUUUAAUCUUGAACUUGUAAUGGCAACACUGUAUACCAAAUAUCAAUCUAUAUCUUCCUACAUGACAAAUGAUAUGCAGAAACUGAUUAUUUGCCUAAGCCAACUGUAUCUUCACACAGACUAUUAUUUUAUAUCCCUCUUAUUUAUUUACACAUGCAAAUAACUUUCUCAAUUCAGUUCUAAAAUUCUGAUCGAAGUAACUGUAUAUAAAGGGAUUAACAAUAUGGUUUAGAAACACAAAACGAGAAAGAUAGAUAAUUAGAAAUGCUGCCUCUCUUGACAAAGAAAUGUAAUUGAAAUCAGGGAGAGUAUAUACUACAAUAAAAAUGAUACAAGUAGGAAUAUAAGAUAAAACAUAAGCAACAAUAAUGACAAAAAACAUAAUCGUUAUUCUUCUUGUUGCUUUUUCCUUCCUUGUUCUUUCGCCGUCCUCUUUCUUUAAAGUAUUUACUGAUUUAUUAAUAUCAAGAUCAACACUCAAAGAAGAGGAAACGUCAAUGCUUGGAUUUGAGCUAGAUAUUUUCUGGAUCUGAAUUCCGUGAAGUUUUCCUUUACAAUUGUAGAGUUCUAUAUCUUUUGUUGAAUCAGUAUUACUAGGUGUAUUUCGAUGUUUGAAUGUCUGACGCCAACUUCUGAAUUUCCCAAGAAAAGAGAGUUUUAUCCUUUUCAACACUAAUAUGAACAAAGUUAUGGUUAUCAAAAUACUGAUAAUAAUUAGCAGUAGAAGACAGCUGAUGUACGCUCUUAUAUUUGCUGUAAUUUCUGCUGUGAAAAAUUUACAGACUGUCAUCUGUAGUGUAUGAUUUUGAAACGUUUUGGAUGAUGUUUUAAUUCCAGAUAUUGCAAGAAACGGUGCAGAUAAUGCCAAAGAAAACAAGCAUACGACAACAAUGGCAAUCCUUUUCCAGCGUGAUGUCAUCCUUGGUCCGUGAGGUUUGCAAACUAACAGAUAUCUUUGAACACCAAUAAUGACUAGUAGACUAGCCGAUAUUCCUGGCACAAGCAGCUGCAAAAAAAUCAGAACACGACACAUCAGAUCAUAGGGAUAAUUCAAUAAAAACUUAUUAUCCAUAAUGUAGAACACAGAACUUGUUAUACACGCAACUAAAUCUACGACUGCCAACACUGGAAUAAAAUAACGCUGUCCUCGUUCCUGAAUCCGAAAGAAGUAACAUAUUAUAACUGAACAAUUCCCUAGAAUUCCAACAAUACCUCCGAUAAUUGUCAGAAUGGUACUGCUUACAGCGACGUCAGAGUAUUUCAGUUCCCAAAGAAUCUGAAGAUAAUCAGUGUUAUUCGUCAUACCUUAAUCACGUUUGU